AGUGAACGCUGGCGGUAGGCCUAACACAUGCAAGUCGAACGGCAGCACAGUAAGAGCUUGCUCUUACGGGUGGCGAGUGGCGGACGGGUGAGGAAUACAUCGGAAUCUACUUUUUCGUGGGGGAUAACGUAGGGAAACUUACGCUAAUACCGCAUACGACCUACGGGUGAAAGCAGGGGAUCUUCGGACCUUGCGCGAUUGAAUGAGCCGAUGUCGGAUUAGCUAGUUGGCGGGGUAAAGGCCCACCAAGGCGACGAUCCGUAGCUGGUCUGAGAGGAUGAGCGGCCAAAGUGGAGAUAGGACACGGCCCGAGCACCUCGGGGGGGCAGCAGGGGGAAGAAUUGAAAAAUGGGGGGAGGCCUAAUCCAGCCAAACGGGGAGGGAGAAGAAGGCCUUGGGGUUGUAAAGCCCUUUUGUUGGGAAAAAAAAGCGGCAGGUUAAAACCCCGCUGUUCUGACGGUACCCAAAGAAAAAGAACCGGCUAACUUCGG
Molecule: ribosomal RNA, 491 nt
Filed under: uncultured bacterium
Lineage: Bacteria
Description: partial 16S ribosomal RNA
Rfam family: Bacterial small subunit ribosomal RNA
Source: RNAcentral